UAAUACGGAGGGUGCAAGCGUUAUCCGGAUUCACUGGGUUUAAAGGGUGCGUAGGCGGGCAGGUAAGUCAGUGGUGAAAUCCCCGGGCUUAACUUGGGAACUGCCGUUGAUACUAUCUGUCUUGAAUAUCGUGGAGGUGAGCGGAAUAUGUCAUGUAGCGGUGAAAUGCUUAGAUAUGACAUAGAACACCCAUUGCGAAGGCAGCUCACUACACGAUAAUUGACGCUGAGGCACGAAAGCGUGGGGAGCAAACAGGAUUAGAUACCCUGGUAGUCCACGCCCUAAACGAUGAUCACUCGACAUCAGCGAUACACUGUUGGUGUCUGAGCGAAAGCAUUAAGUGAUCCACCUGGGAAGUACGAUCGCAAGAUUG
RNAcentral lists this ribosomal RNA (373 nucleotides) under uncultured bacterium. RNAcentral's name for it is "bacterial SSU rRNA". It matches the Rfam family "Bacterial small subunit ribosomal RNA", at positions 521 to 896 of the family's 1533-position model. The record is from RNAcentral.